Acanthopagrus latus (yellowfin seabream) is the source of this 3607-nucleotide long non-coding RNA. RefSeq lists it as uncharacterized. The transcript has 3 exons. The record is from RefSeq and is a predicted model, not a curated record. Lineage: Eukaryota; Metazoa; Chordata; Actinopteri; Spariformes; Sparidae.
UCUACCAAUGAGAGAGAGAGAGAGAGAGGCAGGAAGAAGAAAAACCUAAAAGCAAAGAUCAAAAACAAAAGACAGACAUAAAAGAAGUGUGCGAGACAAGAUUAUAAAAGAACCCAAACUUUUACCUCUGGACCAUCUAGUCUCCCUGUGGAGAUGUUCUGUGGAUUAUCUCACAGAGCUCGACAGUGAAACCUGACGUGUCGGACGCUGACACUGACUGGAUUUUAAAAAUCUAACUUUUAAGACUCUGAAUGUGACUGGCCGUCGCCAAAUCGUAACCUUUGACCUGCACUGAAAUCCCGGCUGCGAGAGACAACCUCACAUCAUUAAGGACGACUAUCAGUACAAGCAUGUAUUAGCUCAGUGCUGACCGUUGGCAGCCGUUUGCCACUCAUUUCCACUACAUCCAUUCAAGCCUGCCUUUUUAGGAAACCUUUGUUCCUCCUGUCCCGGAGCAGCAUGGAGGUGCUCAGCGGCCCCUGGGCUGAUCUGGCUCUGCUCCUUCGACAGACCAUCACACAGCCGGACAGAGAGACAGGCAGCCUUCUUCCUCUCUGGCUCUGCGGCCUGCUGCUGUUCCUGUCUGUCUGUGUGCUGCUGCUGCAGCUGAUUAUCUACCUCAGCUGGAAGCUCAGACAGGCAGAGGCGGAUCUGUCGAGGUUCCCACACGACAGAAGCGCCAUCUACAGGCAGGUACACAGCAGCACACACCUGAGGAGGAGGAGGAGUGUUGGGUAACACUCACACAGAUGACCGGUGCUGACAGACAACAUGAGUAAUCUCUACACCAGCAUGGACAAAUCUCAGGCAAACUGAAGCCUCCUGAAGAAUAUGAAUUAUUGACUGUAACAGAAAAUCUGUGAAAGUUACUUGACUAUUGUACAGCUUCAAAAGAAGCACGUGUUUCGUUGAACUAGACUAAGAAUGUCUUAUUUAUUUCUUACCUGUUGUAAAACAUUUCAUACUGGACUUCCUGAACACAAAAAUGACUUUUAAUCAUUAAAUGAACCAAAGCGUGAAUGAAGAAAUGGUCGUGACACCAGAUAUCAGAGUAUAACAAUCCUUUAUUUAAACAGUGUUACACAGGGGGCUGGGGGAGUGGCUGUGUGCAGGGAGACACAAGACAUUUAAGCUGCUAGAUAGAAAAACCCUACCGGUGAUCAUUGGUUGGCUAAAAGGGAGCGAUGGGGCAGCUGUGGCUGGUUUCCCAAAAUUGCCUCUCUUUUUUUUUUUCUACACCGAAAGUGAGUUUUAAGUAGUUAAAAUACAAAACUGUGCUGGUAUUAUCUCCAAAUAGGUCCAUACUGUGUAGAACAAAGCCUGAGAUAUAACUGUAAAGAACAUUUUGUCCAUGUGUUUGAUAAAUUAGAUCUUAUAAUCUUUCCAUGUUGAGAUCCCUGACAGUUUUAACAUAAGCUGGCGUUGAAUCAUCAUCAGUUGCUUUCAACAACUCAACUCUGUUCGUAUAUAUAUAUAUAUAUAUAUAUAUAUUUUUUUUUAUGUGUGUGUGUAUUUUUUAAAUCUUAAUAAAAGUUACUGAUGGCGAGUGAUUUUGGAGAAGCCCAGACCUGGCAGCAGCUCCCAAAGCUCCCGUGAUUGGUUAAAACAGAGCCCAGACCCCGUUGGAAAGAACAGGUGGGGGGUUUUAAAGUACAAAAAAAAAAAAAAAGGGAAUGGUGGCAGAAAGUUUUGUAGUGGUGUUCCUUCAAUGUCAAAAAAAACCAACCAAAACACUGCGACAAUAUUAAAAACAUCCAACAGGGUGCACGAUAAAUCCCACCUUUUUCCACAAGUACGUCACACAGAAAAGACGACAAAUGAUGAGAAAAAUCUACAAACACAGCUGCUGUGAUAUAACCGAUGCGUUUUUUUUAUUUUAGAAGAUUUGUUUGUUUUUUUUUGGAACAGCGAAAGCUUCCAAAGCUGCCUAGUGUUGCACGGUUUGUUUGUUUAAAUGCUUUUCUGCUGCUUUGUCUCUUUGUAAGAGGGUUAGAGGUUAAAGCUUCCCCCUCAUCUGGAAUGUUGUUUAAAUGCAUAGUAGAAGUCGGACCAGUGUUUCUCAAUAGAAAAGCCAAGAGGGUCAUUACCGCUCCAUCUAGAAAGAAAGCCUUCAAACUGGGAGGUUAAAUUAAAAAGGGAUAUAAUAAUUCAUAAUGUGGAGAAUGAGUCAAUAUUGAUGUAAAAAGAGAAAACACACAAAUCGUUCUGUUAGACUGGAGGGUUCAGACAAACCUAGGCAGGUACAGGUUUUUGAUUUUAUUCAUCUGUGGCACUUCUUUGCGUACAAUCAGUUAAAUUUCCAGGUAAGAAAUGUGUUUUUUUUUUUUCUGUGCCAACAAAAUGCAUUAGGGCCAACAUUUGGAUGAAAGAGGACACAGAGAGAUGAAUAAAACAUCAUGCCAUUUAGGGGUUUCAAGAGCACUUUGAACCCUCAGAUACACUUCCCUUUAAGCUGCAUUGUUCCUGUUGUAACUGUUUCCAUGUCUGUCUGUUUGUAGUGGACUGUCUUAUUCAGAGUGUUGUUUACAAUUUUAACAGAAACACAUAAACUCACUUUAAUGCCGAGGAAUAUUUGGUCGCGGUGAAACAGUUCCAACACGGCCAGCGUCGCGUCAAGAGAUGAUUCUUAUCUAGACUGCGUGGAGAUAAUCUGUUAUCUACACACUCUUCAAACCAAUCAACACAGUAGCCUUCUAUCUAGACUCGCUCAAGAUACUCUUUUGCAAGAUAAAAAAAAAAAAAAAAAAGUGUGAAGACAUGCUGGAUUUAAUCCCAGAUCUUGUUAUAUAUCUAGCAGGUUUCCUCAGUGUUAUCUAGUCUGGUAAUGGAAAGAAGCUGGGAGUGAAAUUAAGUGCUGAACUAUGACGACAAACAGGCUCUGAUGCAGAGUUAGCAAACUGGCAGAAACUUCAUUAUUCUGAAUUCUGGUUUCAAGUCCUCCAUUUUGGUACCUGUGCUGCUUGUGGUGCACAACUCUUUUUGAAUACCCUACGAAUAAUGAAAACAGUUUUAACCCACUGCAGGAUGCAAAAUAACGUGAGGCCAACAUGCACCGAUGCUCAAAUUUGUGUUCCAUCCCAACUCUCGUCUCCCAAUUUUCCCUCAGUUCACUGGUCCUCUCUCCCAAUCAGAAGUCUGCUCCCUUGCUCCCCUGCGGCCCAAUGGGAAUGGCUAGUGUCAUACAGUGGGCGGGCCCAGGGAGAGCGUUUAGCUACUGAAAAGCUGCUCCCAUCUAAUAACCUUCAAUUUUCUUAACUGUACAGAAAGUCGUAUACCGAAGCUUUAAAGUCAGUUCAUUUUCAGUUCAAAUUCAUGUCCAUGUAGUAAAAAAACCCCAAAAACUAAAAUACAGUAAAACUUACAAAUAUAUCACAAAGAGUUAAUUCCCACCUGUGUCAUUUGGCUUCUCGAGCUUAAUUAAUGUCAAACCCACUGGCCCAAUUAAGAAUACGUCCAUUUCCCGCCUACUGUAAAUCGUAAAACGUCUCCUCUUCUUAGAGUAAAAAGUGAAUUGAACUGAACAUGAACUCACUCAGUUGCUAGUUAAACACACAUGGAAUGUGGAUGAAUAUUAACUAUACUUACAGAGACAAAAAAAAAAAAAAAA